CACACACACGCGCACACACACGCACACGCCCGCGCACACACUCUCUCACACACACACAGAGAUUGGAGAGAGACAGGAGAGAGACAUGUUUUCAUCUAUCCUUUGUGGACUUCUGUUGUUUUUACUGCUGUGAAAUUUGACUUGCGAUAUCUGCUUGUAAAACAUCAUCAAAUCCAAAUUCAUUAUAUUCCACUUUUUCUAUUACAUGGUUUCUGCUUCACUGAUUCAUAUCUGUUUUACCUAUUCUGUAAGGGAGGAGAAGCUGCAAAGCAAUGAAGAGAAAAGCUGAAGUCAGUGAUUAGGAGUGUCUGUGUAAGUAAAAGCAACAGGCAAUUACUGAGUGUGGUGUGAGAGGCACGGAAAGAUUGGGAAUUCAGCAAGAAGAGGAAUUGAAGUCAAACCUCACCUACUUCCCAGAGUCUUCUGGAUUUUCUGUUAGAAGCUUCAGUAUCUGAGGAAAGGACUCAGGCAACAAAUAAACAGCUAAGAUUUUACUAGAGUAUGAAAGGGAGAGCACUGGAGUGCAGUGCGGGGAUGGAGAUGCAGCUGUGGUGGCUGGAAGUACAGGAGGGCAGCUGGAGGCACCUGGCCUCUGAAGCCUGUCUUCUUCAUCUGGGUGAGAUCUGCUGGAGUCAGGAAGGACUUCCUGCUGCAAGGAUAAAGACCUAAGAAGCAUCAUGACCUGAGAAACAGUUUCACAGGCCACUCUUGGCAGGUGAAGUGUGGUGGCGUAAUCAUGACUCACUGCAGCCUCGAACUCCGGGACUCAAGCUAAUCUCUUUCCUCAGCCUUCCCAGCAGCUGGGACUACAGAAUCCCACCCAUCCUAAGGCAUUACAUUUAGUCAUCAUAGCUCUUUCUUCACAGAAUUAGAAAAAACUACUUUAAAUUUCAUAUGGAACCAAAAAAGAGCCCAUAUAGCCAAGAAAAUCUUAAGCAAAAAGAACAAAGAUGGAGGCAUCAUGCUAACUGACUUCAAACUAUACUACAAGGCUACAGUAACCAAAACAGCAUGGUACUGGUGCCAAAACAGAUAUAUAGACCAAUGGAAUAGAACAGAGGCCUCAGAAAAACGUCACCCAUCUACAACCAUCUGAUCUUCAACAAAUCUGACAAAAACAAAUAAUGGGGAAGAAAUUCUGUAUUUAAUAAAUGAUCUUGGGAAAACUGGCUAGCCACAUGCAGAAAACUGAAGCUGGGCUCCUUCCUUACACCUUAUACAAAAAUUAACUCAAGAUGGAUUAAAGACUUAAACGUAAGACCUAAAACCAUAGAAACCCUAGAAGAAUACCUAGGCAAUACCAUUGAGGACACAGACAUGGGCAAAUGACUAAAGCAACAAAAGCCAAAAUUGACAAAUGGGAGCUAAUUAAACUAAAGAGCUUCUGAACAGCAAAAGAAACUAUCAUCAGAGUGAACAGGCAACCUACAGAAUGGGAGAAAAUUUUUGCAAUCUAUCCACCUGACAAAGGGCUAAUAUCCAGAAUCUACAAAUAACUUAAACAAAUUUACAAGAAAAAAAACAAACAACCCCAUCAAGAAGUGGGUGAAGGAUAUGAAAAGACACUUCUCAAAAGAAGACAUUUAUGUGGCCAACAAACAUGAAAAAAAGCUCAUCAUCACUGGGCAUUAGAGAAAUGCAAAUCAAAACCACAAUGAGAUACCAUCUCACGCCAGUUAGAAUGGCGAUCUUUAAAAAGUCAGGAAACAACAGAUGCUGGAGAGGAUGUGGAGAGAUAGGAAUGCUUUUACACUGUUGGUAGGAGUGUAAAUUAGUUCAGCAAUUGUGGAAGACUGUGUGGAGAUUCCUCAAGGAUCUAGAACCAGAAAUGCCAUUUGACCGAGCAAUCCCAUUACUGGCUAUAUACCCAAAGGAUUAUAAAUCAUUCUACUAUAGAGACACAUCCACCUGUAUGUUGAUUGCAGCACUGUUCACAAUAGCAAAGACUUGGAACCAAUGCAAAUGCCCAUCAAUGAUCGGCUGGAUAAAGAAAAUGUGGCACAUAUACACCGUGAAAUACUAUGUAGCCAUAAAAAAGGAUGAGUUCAUGUCCUUUGCAGGGAUAUGGAUGAAGCUGGAAACCAUCAUUCUCUGCAAACUAAUACAGGAACAGAAUGCCAAACACCACAUGUUCUCACUCAUAAGUGGGAGUUGAACAAUGAGAACACAUGAAUACCGGGAGGGAACAUCACACACCAGGGCCUGUCAGAGGGUCGGGGGCUAGGGAAGGGAUAGCAUUAGGAGAAAUACCUAAUGUAGAUUAUGGGUUGAUGGGUGCAGCAAACCACCAUGGCACAUGUAUAGCUAUGUAACAAACCUGCACGUUCUACACAUGUAUCCCAGAACUUAAAGCAUAAGUAAAAUAAAAAAAUAAUUAAAUGAGGAAGAAGAGUCAAAUUUUUGUGCAGAAAAAUUUGAAAGAAUUUAUGUAGAUACUACUUCCUCAAUGAGGAAGAGCAUAACUCUAUGCUCUUUAAGUCGGACAUGAACAUACUCAUUUCUUUCAAAAGAGUACAAUAUGAAAAGAGGGAAAAAGAAUAACUGUACAGUAAAGAAACCUGACAAUUGCUACCUUGGCCAAGUGACCCAGGUCAACAUCAACAGUGAUAGUGACGUUUAUGUCAUGUCCACUUGAAAUGAUGUGAUUAAAAAAAGGCACUUUACCUCUGUGUUCUUCUUCCUAUUCCCAUAAUUCCAGACUAAUUAUUUAAAAAUUUUCAUAUGUAUUCCAAUUAAAGAACAUUCUAAAAAAUACCCAACUGGUAAUUCUCAAAACUGCCUAGGUCAUCGAAACAAGCAAAAUUUGAGAAACUGUUACAUUUAUGGAUUUUUAAAUAUUGAAACAAAUCUCAUAUUUCUGGGAUGAAAUCUACUUCAUUAUGAAGCAUUAUCCUUUUAAAUAUAUUGCUUGAAUUAAUUUGCUAAAAUACUGUGUAGGAUUUUGCAUCUAUACUAAUGAGAGAUAGUGAUCUUUAGUUUUCUUUUUUCUUUUGUUUUGUUUUCUGAAACAGAGUCUUCUUGCUCUAUCGCCCAGGCUGGAGUGCAGUAGCAUGAUCAUAGCUCACUGCUGCCUCAAACUGAAGCAAUUAAAGACUGCUCAAGUAAUCCUCCCGCCUCAGUCUCUUAUGUAGCUAGGACUAUAGGCAUAUACCACCAUGCCCAGCUAACUUUUAAUUACUUUAUUUUUUAUUUAUUUAUUUUUUGUAAAGACAGGGUUUUGCUAUGUUGCCUAGGCAGGUUUCAAACUUCUGGCCUCAAGCAGCCCAGGCAUGUGCCAAAACAUCUGGCCCAGUUUUCUUUUCCAUAAGGUCUUUGCCUGGUUUUAAUAUCAGUGUACUAGUGAACUCUUCAAUUUUUAGAAGAGUUUGUAUAAAAUUGGUAUCACUUGUUCCUUAAAUGUUGAGAAGAGC
RNAcentral lists this long non-coding RNA (3410 nucleotides) under Homo sapiens (human). Its description in RNAcentral is "HSALNT0323671". Lineage: Eukaryota; Metazoa; Chordata; Mammalia; Primates; Hominidae. The record is from RNAcentral.